CUUGGAUCAGUGACAAGUGGCAAUCGGUGGAGGUUGGACCUGUACCUUUCAUACAAAUAGAAAGCCUCAGAUUUUCUAGGGUUAAUAGUUGGUAUUCCGAGGGUUUUUCUUGGCUGCGUGCCUUUCAUCUUCUCCCUUCUAAUCUUGUGAUUUCUUUGAAAAUACUUAGUGUGAUUUUUGGGAGAAUUGGUAGAGAAACUCGUGUGAAUUCUGCUGUGGAAAGAUUGUGUUGUAUUUGUGAUUUAGGAACUCAGUGUUCUAUAACUUGAUCUUUGUCUAUUUUGGUCGAUUUUAGUGAAUUUGAGCUUAAUCCUUUAUGGAUGCUCAACGGGGGACUAAGCGUUAGAAGCGGUCGCUGAACCUCCAGGGCCUUUAGUAGAAAAAUCUCUCAUGUUCUUAUUUUCUGUUUUUUUUUUCUGAGAAAAUUGUGAUAUAUUUGCGUUGAGUAUUUUUGGCAUAAAUUCAAUCCUGGAACUACACACACUCAUGCCAAAUCGGUAUGACACAAAUCAUUAGCACCAUAGUCCUCAAACCAACGGUCAGGUCAAGCAAACUCUCAGUGUAAAGUAUAUGGAGAGAGUGUGGGAGAAAGAGGAAAAAAAAAAAAUUUAGCCAGAGUUUUGAUGACAAUAAGAAAUCGUACAUUUACCUUUACCCAUGCACCUGUAUUUAUGGGAGAAGGAUUCUAGUGUGGCAAGACACUAUCUGAUCGGAA
RNAcentral lists this long non-coding RNA (715 nucleotides) under Olea europaea subsp. europaea. The record is from RNAcentral. Lineage: Eukaryota; Viridiplantae; Streptophyta; Magnoliopsida; Lamiales; Oleaceae.